AUGGCAGGCCUUGGAUGGUGAACAUCUCAGCAGAAACCUACUUUUCGCACCAGAGAGACGACAUGUACAGCUACUUUUUAUACACACACGAGGUGGUCCAUACUGGCAGGAUGUCAAGAUUCCAUUUUCAAAAUUUUUCCUGUCAAGUCGGGGAAGAGUUCAAGAUGAUCAGCACCCCCUCUGGCUGGACAAGGUGAACACCAUCAGCUUCACAUUGGGAGAUAAAGCAGACGGACCGUUCCAGUUGGAGAUUGAUUUUAUUGCUUUGUGUAGCGAUCACGCUCACACAGAAGAAUUUGCUUAUGAACUGUACAAAAGAAACCCAGAGGUGUAAUGGUGUCGGUGCUGAAAUCGGACCUGUUACGGACUGAAAAUGGCAUCAUAAAAACAAGAACACAGAUGUACAAAAACACUUUUGUUUAAUAGCAAAUAAAUGCAACUUCAUCGUUCUUACCCCCUGAACAA
This is a long non-coding RNA of Trichomycterus rosablanca, 465 nucleotides long. RefSeq lists it as uncharacterized. The record is from RefSeq and is a predicted model, not a curated record. The transcript is spliced from 3 exons. NCBI's taxonomy places the organism in Eukaryota, Metazoa, Chordata, Actinopteri, Siluriformes, Trichomycteridae.